Molecule: ribosomal RNA, 496 nt
Filed under: uncultured bacterium
Lineage: Bacteria
Description: partial 16S ribosomal RNA
Rfam family: Bacterial small subunit ribosomal RNA
Source: RNAcentral
GAUGAACGCUGGCGGCGUGCCUAAUACAUGCAAGUCGAGCGAACAGAUGAGGAGCUUGCUCCUCUGACGUUAGCGGCGGACGGGUGAGUAACACGUGGAUAACCUACCUAUAAGACUGGGAUAACUUCGGGAAACCGGAGCUAAUACCGGAUAAUAUAUUGAACCGCAUGGUUCAAUAGUGAAUGAGGUUUUGCCUGUAUUUAUUAGCUGAUUCCGGGCUGCAUUAGUUAGUUGGUAAGGUAACGCCUUCCCAAGGAACCGAUGCGUAGCCGACCUGAGGGGGUGAUCGGCAACACUGGAACGGAGACACGUUCCAGACUCCUACGGGAGGCAGCAGUAGGGAAUCUUCCGCAAUGGGCGAAAGCCUGACGGAGCAACGCCGCGUGAGUGAUGAAGGUCUUCGGAUCGUAAAACUCUGUUAUGAGGGAAGAACAAAUGUGUAAGUAACUAUGCACGUCUGAACGGAACCAAAGCAGAAGGCCACGGCAAACUACGU